This 251-nucleotide long non-coding RNA is filed under the name Salvia miltiorrhiza (redroot sage). RNAcentral's name for it is "long non-coding RNA (SMIL_LNC004175)". The record is from RNAcentral. Lineage: Eukaryota; Viridiplantae; Streptophyta; Magnoliopsida; Lamiales; Lamiaceae.
GACGGGAAGUUAGGUGGCGACGCGUUAAUGCGGUUUUGGUUCUGAUGACAUGGUUCUGUACAGGAUUUCACACAUUCAAUGCCUCCGUUACAAGCGUCCUCACAUCCAAAGACACAACUAGUAUAAAAAUCAUCAUAUGCCAUUGUAUAAUUAGCAGCAAAUAUUAGGACCAUCAAAAUUGUACCCAAAACUCCGAUAAUUGAGGAUUUCAUGUUUGGUAACUAUUAGCAUUUGAAUUUCCUAUGAAAAAG